GACGUAGGUGGCAAGCGUUACUCGGAAUUACUAGGCGUAAAGCGCGCGCAGGCGGAAGUCUAAGUCAACCGUUAAAUCUCCCGGCUCAACUGGGAAUAGCGGCUGAAACUGGACAUCUUGAGUGAGGCAGAGGAAAUUGGAAUUCCCGGUGUAGCGGUGGAAUGCGUAGAGAUCGGGAGGAACACCAGAGGCGAAGGCGGAUUUCUGGGCCUUUACUGACGCUGAGGCGCGAAAGCUAGGGGAGCAAACAGGAUUAGAUACCCUGGUAGUCCUAGCUGUAAACGAUGGAAACUAGGUGUGGGAGGUAUCGACCCCUUCCGUGCCGACGCUAACGCAUUAAGUUUCCCGCCUGGGGAGUACGGCCGCAAGGUUAAA
Molecule: ribosomal RNA, 375 nt
Filed under: uncultured bacterium
Lineage: Bacteria
Description: bacterial SSU rRNA
Rfam family: Bacterial small subunit ribosomal RNA
Source: RNAcentral